RNAcentral lists this ribosomal RNA (254 nucleotides) under uncultured bacterium. RNAcentral's name for it is "partial 16S ribosomal RNA". It matches the Rfam family "Bacterial small subunit ribosomal RNA", at positions 524 to 776 of the family's 1533-position model. The record is from RNAcentral.
UACGUAGGGGGCGAGCGUUGUCCGGAUUUAUUGGGCGUAAAGAGCUCGUAGGCGGCUUGGCAAGUCGGGUGUGAAACCUCCAGGCUCAACCUGGAGACGCCACUCGAUACUGCUAUGGCUAGAGUCCGGUAGGGGACCACGGAAUUCCUGGUGUAGCGGUGAAAUGCGCAGAUAUCAGGAGGAACACCGGUGGCGAAGGCGGUGGUCUGGGCCGGCACUGACGCUGAGGAGCGAAAGCAUGGGGAGCGAACAGG